This 104-nucleotide microRNA precursor is filed under the name Canis lupus familiaris (dog). RNAcentral describes it as "mir-8834 microRNA precursor family". It matches the Rfam family "mir-8834 microRNA precursor family". Lineage: Eukaryota; Metazoa; Chordata; Mammalia; Carnivora; Canidae. RNAcentral also lists the same sequence under 1 other name. The record is from Rfam by way of RNAcentral.
AGGAGGAACAGCCCCAGUGGCGGGGCAGCUCUGGAGCCCUGGAUUCAGCCCCCGCAGGAACUGCGGAGCUCUCCGUCUGCAGGGCCUGGAGGCUCCGGGGCGGG